GAGCGGCGAACGGGUGAGUAACACGUGAGUAACCUGCCCCUGACUCUGGGAUAAGCCUGGGAAACUGGGUCUAAUACCGGAUACGACACCUCCCUGCAUGGGGUGGGUGUGGAAAGUUUUUUCGGUUGGGGAUGGGCUCGCGGCCUAUCAGCUUGUUGGUGGGGUAGUGGCCUACCAAGGCGACGACGGGUAGCCGGCCUGAGAGGGCGACCGGCCACACUGGGACUGAGACACGGCCCAGACUCCUACGGGAGGCAGCAGUGGGGAAUAUUGCGCAAUGGGCGGAAGCCUGACGCAGCGACGCCGCGUGGGGGAUGACGGCCUUCGGGUUGUAAACCUCUUUCAGCAGGGACGAAGUUGACGUGUACCUGUAGAAGAAGCGCCGGCUAACUACGUGCCAGCAGCCGCGGUAAUACGUAGGGCGCAAGCGUUGUCCGGAAUUAUUGGGCGUAAAGAGCUCGUAGGUGGCUUGUUGCGUCUGCCGUGAAAGCCCGUGGCUUAACUGCGGGUCUGCGGUGGAUACGGGCAGGCUAGAGGCUGGUAGGGGCAAGCGGAAUUCCU
Molecule: ribosomal RNA, 561 nt
Filed under: Planotetraspora sp. 419C06
Lineage: Bacteria; Bacillati; Actinomycetota; Actinomycetes; Streptosporangiales; Streptosporangiaceae
Description: bacterial SSU rRNA
Rfam family: Bacterial small subunit ribosomal RNA
Source: RNAcentral